CAAGAGAAAGCGCUUUGGCUCCUCCUUUUAUAUGUUUUUUCCUCCACCUGGGCCUGCCCUAUGCAAAUUGGGCUUAGCCAGGAGUGCUGUUUAUUCUGUUUGUUCUGCGAUUAAUAUUUCAUAAAACACACUAGAUGAAGUAAGUAAAAUUACUUUGUUUAAAAAAAGCAAAGGAAAACAGACUUGUGUAGAUGACAAUGAAGAGUGUUACCUGAGGGCCAGGAGUGAGUCGGGAUGAGUGGGCAGGGCCAGUGAGCAGUGUCUGAGAUUCAGUGCCCAGAUCCACGCCCCUGGCGGGCAGGCUUCUCCUCGGCACUGACUACCCCAGAAGCAGACAGUUAAGAACCAUCUCUGGAAGCCGUGAGAUGGGAAAACCAAAGCAGGCCUGUUUGCAUUCCGCUCACCUCGGUGUUGGAGCUCCUGAUGACUGAAGUUCCACUUGAGGUUGUGUGUGCCACACGCUGCUUCUCUUCUGCUCCUGAUCCUACUCUCACAGCCAGAUGGUUAAGUCUUCGUCUUCCAGAUUUGGCGUCCAGAUGAUGGAGCUCUAGUCACCCCCUCCCCACUUCAGACCAAUAAUACCCAGUGUGAAAGCACUCUUUGCUCUUCAUUAGUAACAGGACAAGUUGGUCAGCAUCUUUAUCAUCCACCUUGCUUACUCCAGGCUCUCUUAGACAAAGACUUGGCUUUGAAUCAUCACUUUCUUGAAACCUUGACAAGUCAGCAAAAAAAUUUCCAGAGCCGUCUCCUUCCUAUUUGAUUUAUCCUUCAUGAGGCUGUUUCUUUCCAAGCCUAAUCAGGGCAUCGAAUGCCUUAAUGGUAGACACUCUUGCUGUCAUGCAUCCUUCACCAGAGGAUCAUCCCCCUCUCAACUCUCCAAAUACUGUGUCAUCAGUUAAUAGCCUCGAAGAUUGUGGUGACUCCUUGGAAUAAAGGCUCCAGAAAAGGUGUAGGAAAGCGUGAGGACCACAGUUAUGACUUGUAACUGAAAGCUCCGGAAGGGUGCCUGCAAGCCUUGAGGGAAAGGUUCUGCACCAUCAUAUAUGGUUUGAACACUGGGAAACCAGCCGUGCACUCUGAGCGUCAGAGGAAGAUCCACCAGCCGAGGUUAGAUAUAGCUCUGGAGUAGAUUCACCAGCCGAGGUUAGAGACAGCCCUGGAGUAGAUCCACCAGCCGAGGUUAGACACAGCCGUGGAGUAGAUCCACCAGCUGAGGUUAGACAUAGCCCUGGAGUAGAUCCACCAGCCGAGGUUAGACACAGCCAUGGAGGAGAUAUGCCAGCUGAGGUUAGAGACAGCCCUGGGGGAGAUAUGCCAGCCGAGGUUAGAGAUGGCCCUGGAGUAGACACACCAGCUAAGGUUAGAUCCACCAGCUGAGGUCAGAGACAGCCCUGGAAUAGAUACACCAGCCGGGGUUUUGGUUUACGUCACCCUCGAAGUCUCCAGCUGAAAGCAGGGUCAGCUUACCUGUGGAAGCGUUAGACCUAACGCCUCUUUCUUACCUUCUGAAAUAAAUGUACAAGAUGGCAUUUGUUUGGAGUAGGAAAUGGCAACCCACUCCAGUAUUCUUGCCUGGAGAAUCCCAUAGAGGAGUCUGGCAGGCUACAGUCUAUGGGGUCUCAAAGAGUUGGAUGCAACUGAGCAUACAUAUGCUGUGACAUUUGUUUUAAAAAAAAAAAAAAAGCUGAGUUUCAUCAAGAUGGGAGGCUGGCUCCAUGAUACAGCCGCCUUUGGCAGUUUCUGGGGUUUGCUGCUGCAGCCCGCCCACCCGGCCUUCAAAGCACCAGGCUCACAUGCUGCUUAAAUCUCGCAGGCCUUCCAGGGUAGCUUAAAAACCAAAGUCUGUCACCAGAUCCUCACUCCACGUCGCUUUUCUAACUCUCCCUCUGUGCCAGAGCAGGCUCAGCGGCAUCAUGCUGAGUGGUUUGCGUCCAACUCGACCACUUACUGACUGUGAGACCCUAACUUUGGUUUCUUCAUAUGUUAAGAGGGAUUAGUGUUACCAGCAUACACACACAGUGGAACAGACUGUUCAGCCACAAAGAGGAAUGGAUACUGACCCACGCUCCAACACAGAUGGACCUCAGAAACAUUAUGCCAAGUGAGAAGCUGACACAAAAGGUCACAUACUGUGUGAUUGCAGUCAUAAACACAUCCAUACAGAACUCAGAUUGGUGUGGUCACCAGAGCCUACAGCGAGGGAGGGAUGGGGAGAAACUGGUUAGUGGGUACGGACUCUCCUUUCGGGGUGAUGAAAUGUUCUAGAACCAGAUAGAGCUGCUGGUUGUACGACACUGAAUGUGCUGCUGCUGCUAAGUCGCUUCAGUCGUGUCCGACUCUGUGCGACCCCAGAGACGGCAGCCCACCAGGCUCCCCCGUCCCUGGGAUUCUACUAAAUGCCAUUAAAUUGUUCAGAGUUUUUGUAUCUUUGUAUUUUACAUAAAAAGAAAAGUUAAAUAUCAUUAA
Molecule: long non-coding RNA, 2466 nt
Organism: Bubalus bubalis (water buffalo)
Lineage: Eukaryota; Metazoa; Chordata; Mammalia; Artiodactyla; Bovidae
Exons: 2
Source: RefSeq, a predicted model, not a curated record